GUUAAGCUUGGGGCGAGAGUAGUACUAGGAUGGGUGACCCCCUGGCAAGUCCUCGUGUUGCAACCC
Molecule: ribosomal RNA, 66 nt
Filed under: Melampodium nayaritense
Lineage: Eukaryota; Viridiplantae; Streptophyta; Magnoliopsida; Asterales; Asteraceae
Source: RNAcentral